UACGAAGGGGGCUAGCGUUGUUCGGAAUCACUGGGCGUAAAGAGCGUGUAGGCGGCCAGGUAGGUCUGCUGUGAAAACUCGAGGCUCAACCUCGAGACGUCGGCGGAAACCAUCUGGCUAGAGUCCGGAAGAGGCGAGUGGAAUUCCUGGUGUAGCGGUGAAAUGCGCAGAUAUCAGGAGGAACACCUAUUGCGAAGGCAGCUCGCUGGGACGUUACUGACGCUGAGACGCGAAAGCGUGGGGAGCAAACAGG
Molecule: ribosomal RNA, 253 nt
Filed under: uncultured bacterium
Lineage: Bacteria
Description: partial 16S ribosomal RNA
Rfam family: Bacterial small subunit ribosomal RNA
Source: RNAcentral